Long non-coding RNA from Triticum aestivum (bread wheat), 1886 nucleotides. RefSeq lists it as uncharacterized. The transcript is spliced from 4 exons. The record is from RefSeq and is a predicted model, not a curated record. Lineage: Eukaryota; Viridiplantae; Streptophyta; Magnoliopsida; Poales; Poaceae.
CCAAAAAGCCCCAUGUAAGCAAAGAAAUAGCUGUAAUGUGCACGUCACUUGGUUGUGCUAUUCCCAGUUUGGAACAGGAAGAACACAGACAGACUAGGGCAUCGGCGGUCAGCCGGCGGACCUCGCCGUGGGCGCUGCGGCGGAAAAAGUUCGCCACAGUACGGAUGUACUGUCCCCCGACUUCCAGCGGACAACUAGCCCCACCCCUGCCCGCCCUUCUCCAAGUCGGCGCAACCCCCUCCACAGCCACACACAGCGCCCAGCUCCACCAUCCGCCGACGCCGGAGAAGAGAACCCCCAGUCUUCAGGGAAGGAUGGAGUCAAUGAAAAGCAUGCAUUGCUCCAAGUGUCAGGUCAACUACAGCGAUAUGACUUGAAGAUGGAUUAAAAGGUCGUGGAAUGCCAAUGGAUGGUUGUUGAUUGAUCCUUUUCUAAUCUGACAUGGAUUUUCAACUUUUCAUACACCUGACACUGUUGUCUUCUCAUUUGUGGUGCAGAUUUCACUAGUUAAAAUCUUGGCUAGACUCUUCAUUUACUCUUGAACGUUUGUUUUUCAAAAUGUGCACUUCCUGUGGAACAUAUGUUUCUUUUUUAUACCACCUUGGAAACUCCAUGACACUAUCUGUACAAUAUUUAUAUGUGAUGGGCGAAGGUGAAAGCAAUUAGGAGCUCCUGUGUUUCGUUCUGGAAUUCAAGUUUUUUUUUGUGUGUGUGGAUAUCAGUUUAAGUUUUUUGAAUGUAGUGCUUUCCUAGCAGCCAGUGAGAAUUUUUUGUUUGAUGUUGCACACGCUCCUGGUCAUAUUCGAGUUGAGCUUUGGUACAUUAAGUUUCUUUAUAUAACAUUUGUAUCUGUCUAUACUAGAUACUAGAACAGAUCUUUUCAUUUGUUUGCAGACAAAGUGAACGCACAUGCUGGACAGAAAUUACACAUUUAGUUACAAUUGAUACUCAAUGGCGCAUUUUCAGAAAAUGCUUGGAAGCGAAACCUGUCCCGGAGAUUGUACAUUAAGACGUCUUGACAUGUUGACAGUCCAGGCACACCUGAGCCGCCAGAACCUCCAAGCGAUAGUACAGUCGUGUUCUUUCUGUUCCAAACGGCACAUCUUGUAAUCGAAACGUUACAGUCGGAGCACUCAUUCCACUGGAGCACAGGAUACUUUCCCACUGAGAUGGAGCAAAAGCUCAAGGAGACUGCCGCCAAGUGCGAGUCUCUGGAAACGGAAAAUAAAGCGUAGGUGACCGAACUCACCAAGGCCCUUCAAGAUGCUUCGGAGGCACGGUCCGAAUCCCAUGCAGCGCGCGAGGAAAUCCGUCAAGCUGGUCAGAUAGCAACUGACGCAUAUGCGGAUCUGUCGACGAGUGCUACGGACGCCGCCCAAUUCUUCCAGGUCCAGGAGGGGUACAAGUCAGAGAAGCUUUUCUGGUCGCAGUUUGUGGAGCAGGAGUGUCCCCUACUGCUAAAUGACCAGAUGUCACAAUGGGCGGAGCUACAUAAGAUGUCUAGCGUGGCCAUGAAGGACGUCAUAGUCCGGCUGUGGCCUGCUGAAGCCGUUCCGGGCAGCUACUUCGGCCUCGUGCGGCGUCUCAUUGAUGCGCUGCACCGGAUUGACGCUGUUAAGAGGUAGUCCUGCAUGGAAGGAGCGCGUAUGGCUUUCGCCCGUGUCAAGAUGCACUGGGUGAAAAUGAAUGCCGAAAAGGUGGGGGUCGAGGGUCCUCUCGAAAGCAAGGCCCACCGCACACCAGAGCGCUAUUUUGAGGACAUGCUAAAAGGAGCUUGCCUUAUAGAGGGCCAAUGCUCUAAGGACGUAGUGUUCGAAUAAAAGAGUCUGAAUUGUCCGGGAUUCGUGUUAUAAAUGAAGUGUUUUGUAAUAUAUUCAUUCCUUGAU